UACGAAGGGGGCUAGCGUUGCUCGGAAUCACUGGGCGUAAAGCGCACGUAGGCGGAUUGUUAAGUCGGGGGUGAAAUCCCGAGGCUCAACCUCGGAACUGCCUUCGAUACUGGCAAUCUUGAGUCCGGGAGAGGUGAGUGGAACUGCGAGUGUAGAGGUGAAAUUCGUAGAUAUUCGCAAGAACACCAGUGGCGAAGGCGGCUCACUGGCCCGGUACUGACGCUGAGGUGCGAAAGCGUGGGGAGCGAACAGG
This 253-nucleotide ribosomal RNA is filed under the name uncultured bacterium. RNAcentral describes it as "partial 16S ribosomal RNA". It matches the Rfam family "Bacterial small subunit ribosomal RNA", at positions 524 to 776 of the family's 1533-position model. The record is from RNAcentral.